Molecule: ribosomal RNA, 763 nt
Filed under: uncultured Streptococcus sp.
Lineage: Bacteria; Bacillati; Bacillota; Bacilli; Lactobacillales; Streptococcaceae
Description: bacterial SSU rRNA
Rfam family: Bacterial small subunit ribosomal RNA
Source: RNAcentral
GACGAACGCUGGCGGCGUGCCUAAUACAUGCAAGUAGAACGCUGAAGGAGGAGCUUGCUCUUCUGGAUGAGUUGCGAACGGGUGAGUAACGCGUAGGUAACCUGCCUGGUAGCGGGGGAUAACUAUUGGAAACGAUAGCUAAUACCGCAUAAGAGUAGAUGUUGCAUGACAUUUGCUUAAAAGGUGCAAUUGCAUCACUACCAGAUGGACCUGCGUUGUAUUAGCUAGUUGGUGGGGUAACGGCUCACCAAGGCGACAAUACAUAGCCGACCUGAGAGGGUGAUCGGCCACACUGGGACUGAGACACGGCCCAGACUCCUACGGGAGGCAGCAGUAGGGAAUCUUCGGCAAUGGACGGAAGUCUGACCGAGCAACGCCGCGUGAGUGAAGAAGGUUUUCGGAUCGUAAAGCUCUGUUGUAAGAGAAGAACGAGUGUGAGAGUGGAAAGUUCACACUGUGACGGUAUCUUACCAGAAAGGGACGGCUAACUACGUGCCAGCAGCCGCGGUAAUACGUAGGUCCCGAGCGUUGUCCGGAUUUAUUGGGCGUAAAGCGAGCGCAGGCGGUUAGAUAAGUCUGAAGUUAAAGGCUGUGGCUUAACCAUAGUACGCUUUGGAAACUGUUUAACUUGAGUGCAAGAGGGGAGAGUGGAAUUCCAUGUGUAGCGGUGAAAUGCGUAGAUAUAUGGAGGAACACCGGUGGCGAAAGCGGCUCUCUGGCUUGUAACUGACGCUGAGGCUCGAAAGCGUGGGGAGCAAACAGG